RNAcentral lists this ribosomal RNA (428 nucleotides) under Gemmatimonadota bacterium. RNAcentral's name for it is "Gemmatimonadetes bacterium partial 16S ribosomal RNA". It matches the Rfam family "Bacterial small subunit ribosomal RNA", at positions 355 to 776 of the family's 1533-position model. The record is from RNAcentral. Lineage: Bacteria; Pseudomonadati; Gemmatimonadota.
UAGGGAAUCUUCGGCAAUGGACGAAAGUCUGACCGAGCAACGCCGCGUGAGUGAAGAAGGUUUUCGGAUCGUAAAACUCUGUUGUUAGAGAAGAACAAGGACGUUAGUAACUGAACGUCCCCUGACGGUAUCUAACCAGAAAGCCACGGCUAACUACGUGCCAGCAGCCGCGGUAAUACGUAGGUGGCAAGCGUUGUCCGGAUUUAUUGGGCGUAAAGCGAGCGCAGGCGGUUUCUUAAGUCUGAUGUGAAAGCCCCCGGCUCAACCGGGGAGGGUCAUUGGAAACUGGGAGACUUGAGGGCAGAAGAGGAGGGUGGAAUUCCAUGUGUAGCGGUGAAAUGCGUAGAUAUAUGGAGGAACACCAGUGGCAAAGGCGGCUCUCUGGUCGUUAACUAACGCUGAGGCUGGAAAGCGUGGGAGCAAACAGG